RNAcentral lists this ribosomal RNA (522 nucleotides) under uncultured Ideonella sp. RNAcentral's name for it is "bacterial SSU rRNA". It matches the Rfam family "Bacterial small subunit ribosomal RNA", at positions 9 to 526 of the family's 1533-position model. The record is from RNAcentral. Lineage: Bacteria; Pseudomonadati; Pseudomonadota; Betaproteobacteria; Burkholderiales; Sphaerotilaceae.
GAGUUUGAUCCUGGCUCAGAUUGAACGCUGGCGGCAUGCCUUACACAUGCAAGUCGAACGGCAGCACGGGAGCAAUCCUGGUGGCGAGUGGCGAACGGGUGAGUAAUAUAUCGGAACGUGCCCAGUAGUGGGGGAUAGCCCGGYGAAAGCCGGAUUAAUACCGCAUACGACCUGAGGGUGAAAGCGGGGGAUCGCAAGACCUCGCGCUAUUGGAGCGGCCGAUAUCAGAUUAGCUAGUUGGUGGGGUAAAGGCCUACCAAGGCUACGAUCUGUAGUUGGUCUGAGAGGACGMCCAGCCACMCUGGGACUGAGACACGGCCCAGACUCCUACGGGAGGCAGCAGUGGGGAAUUUUGGACAAUGGGCGCAAGCCUGAUCCAGCAAUGCCGCGUGCAGGAAGAAGGCCUUCGGGUUGUAAACUGCUUUUGUCAGGGAAGAAAUCUUCUGGGCUAAUMCCCCGGGAGGAUGACGGUACCUGAAGAAUAAGCACCGGCUAACUACGUGCCAGCAGCCGCGGUAAUAC